RNAcentral lists this ribosomal RNA (784 nucleotides) under Staphylococcus sp. Y75-MSE-E14. Its description in RNAcentral is "bacterial SSU rRNA". It matches the Rfam family "Bacterial small subunit ribosomal RNA", at positions 56 to 825 of the family's 1533-position model. Lineage: Bacteria; Bacillati; Bacillota; Bacilli; Caryophanales; Staphylococcaceae. The record is from RNAcentral.
UGCAGUCGAGCGAACAGACAGGAGCUUGCUCCUUUGACGUUAGCGGCGGACGGGUGAGUAACACGUGGGUAACCUACCUAUAAGACUGGGAUAACUUCGGGAAACCGGAGCUAAUACCGGAUAAUAUUUCGAACCGCAUGGUUCGAUAGUGAAAGAUGGUUUUGCUAUCACUUAUAGAUGGACCCGCGCCGUAUUAGCUAGUUGGUAAGGUAACGGCUUACCAAGGCGACGAUACGUAGCCGACCUGAGAGGGUGAUCGGCCACACUGGAACUGAGACACGGUCCAGACUCCUACGGGAGGCAGCAGUAGGGAAUCUUCCGCAAUGGGCGAAAGCCUGACGGAGCAACGCCGCGUGAGUGAUGAAGGUCUUCGGAUCGUAAAACUCUGUUAUUAGGGAAGAACAUACGUGUAAGUAACUGUGCACGUCUUGACGGUACCUAAUCAGAAAGCCACGGCUAACUACGUGCCAGCAGCCGCGGUAAUACGUAGGUGGCAAGCGUUAUCCGGAAUUAUUGGGCGUAAAGCGCGCGUAGGCGGUUUUUUAAGUCUGAUGUGAAAGCCCACGGCUCAACCGUGGAGGGUCAUUGGAAACUGGAAAACUUGAGUGCAGAAGAGGAAAGUGGAAUUCCAUGUGUAGCGGUGAAAUGCGCAGAGAUAUGGAGGAACACCAGUGGCGAAGGCGACUUUCUGGUCUGUAACUGACGCUGAUGUGCGAAAGCGUGGGGAUCAAACAGGAUUAGAUACCCUGGUAGUCCACGCCGUAACGAUGAGUGCUAAGUGUUA